This 403-nucleotide ribosomal RNA is filed under the name uncultured bacterium. Its description in RNAcentral is "partial 16S ribosomal RNA". It matches the Rfam family "Bacterial small subunit ribosomal RNA", at positions 28 to 526 of the family's 1533-position model. The record is from RNAcentral.
GACGAACGCUGGCGGCGUGCCUAAUACAUGCAAGUCGAACGCAGUGGGGACGGGUGAGUAACACGUGGGUAACCUCCCAUCAGAGGGGAUAACACUUGGAAACAGGUGCUAAACCGAUACUGAUGGAUGGACCCGCGGUGCAUUGGCUAGUUGGCUAGGUAACGGGUCACCAAGGCCACGAUGCAUAGCCGACCUGAGAGGGGGAUCGGGCAAACUGGGACUGAGACACGGCCCAGACUCCUACGGGAGUCAGCAGGAGGGAAUUGUCGGCAAUGGACGAAAGUCUGACAGAGCAACGCCGCGUGAGUGAAGAAGGUUUUCGGAUCGUAAAACUCUGUUGUUAUAGAAGCGGUAUCUAACCAGAAAGCCACGGCUAACUACGUGCCAGCAGCCGCGGUAAUUC